This 440-nucleotide ribosomal RNA is filed under the name uncultured bacterium. Its description in RNAcentral is "partial 16S ribosomal RNA". It matches the Rfam family "Bacterial small subunit ribosomal RNA", at positions 338 to 795 of the family's 1533-position model. The record is from RNAcentral.
CCUACGGGUGGCUGCAGUAGGGAAUAUUGCACAAUGGGGGAAACCCUGAAGCAGCAACGCCGCGUGGAGGAUGAAGGUUUUCGGAUUGUAAACUCCUGUUGUUAGAGAAGAAAGUGACGGUAUCUAACCAAUAAGCACCGGCUAACUCCGUGCCAGCAGCCGCGGUAAUACGUAGGGUGCAAGCGUUACUCGGAAUCACUGGGCGUAAAGAGCGCGUAGACGGGACAGCAAGUCAGAUGUGAAAGCCUAGGGCUUAACCACAGAACUGCAUUUGAAACUGUUAUUCUAGAGUGUGGGAGGGGUAGGUGGAAUUCUUGGUGUAGGGGUAAAAUCCGUGGAGAUCAGGAGGAAUACUCAUUGCGAAGGCGACCUGCUAGAACAUAACUGACGCUGAUGCGCGAAGGCGUGGGGAGCAAACAGGAUUAGAUACCCUGGUAGUC